This 6335-nucleotide long non-coding RNA is filed under the name Daphnia pulex (common water flea). RNAcentral describes it as "uncharacterized LOC124207550, transcript variant X1". The record is from RNAcentral. Lineage: Eukaryota; Metazoa; Arthropoda; Branchiopoda; Diplostraca; Daphniidae.
UUUGCGACUCACGUCUACAGUGAUGGUGUAAUCAUAUAUGUGUGUAUAAAAGCCACGCUCUGUCUCUUCCCGGCAGAGUCAUCUCGGCAGUGUAUCCCCCAGCAUCGGCAAAUAUAAGUAUCCUUUCUAUAAUAUAUAUUCAGUGUUUGUGUGUGUAAGGCUCGUUCCAGCCUUACUUUACUUGUUCGAAAUAACGGUACGAAUGUUCGUCAGAGGAUGACGCUUUGUAUUUUGAUACACAAGGUUGUAAGAAAGAUACUUGAAUACAAAUGUUCAGAAAUAAAAUAGUAAGAGAGAGUUUACCAGCGCGAGGGCUUGCUCGUGCAAGACUAGUUAUUCAAGGGAAAUAAGGGGGCUUUUAUACUGGUCAAGGCGGAAGUCGUCGUCGGAGAUUGAUCUCGUUGUUUCCUAUAUCGCAGUGUUGGGAUUGAUAGCUUGCUGGUGUCGACAUCCCGGUGUUGGGACUGGAUAUAUCCCGUGUGUUGACAGCAGGGUGUUGGGAAUGGAUACCUCCAGUCUGUCGACGUCAGGGUGUUGGCAAUGGAUACAUCCCGUGUGUCGACAUCACAGUAUCCGUUAGCGGAUCCUAUUCGCUCGACGGACUCGUUCGCGCAUACGCUUUUUGAAAUGCGCGCGUUGGUCUGUGGUUGCUAUAGAUGUGCCGCUUGCUGGUUGGUUACGGGUGCCCUCUCGUGGUUGGGUUCGGGUACUUCUCUCUGCCAGAGAGUUGUGAUGCAAUGUGAAAAAAUCGGUAACAAAGAUAACAAGAGAGAACGAAAAUUUUUUUUAUUAAUUCUGAAAAGAUAAAUAUUAUUAAUACUUUUAUUCAAGUUAAAGCGUUAAAACAAUAAAAACCUAAUUGGGGCUGUUGUCUACGUUAAUGAGAAUCAAUAUAUUAUUUAACAAAUUCAAGUUGUCUCGAAAUAAAGUCAUGUUCGUGCCUUGAAUUGCCAUUAAAAACAAAUGAAGAUAUCAUUAUUUGUAAGUUACUUUGGGAAACAUAAACAUAUCCGAUUCUACCAACACUUCUACAGGAAACAUUCCGAGUUUUUAAUAUCGAUUGAGCAUGGCUACAAAAGUCCAUCAUUUUAACAUUUAAUUUUCAGAUGAAAAGUUUCAAAACUUCUUACAAUUUAAUGUCUUUGCGGAUUGAAUUGGUUUGAACACAGUCGACUUGGGUCUAAAAAAUCAGACGGUUUACUAUUUUUAAGAAAUGUUAGUAUCAGAGAUAACAUGUCUGUUGAAGAGUGUUAAAAAAGAACACACAAAUGUCAAUACGUAUUGAAGAGAGUAAAAGGUUUCUCUGUUUUGAGUACUGGUUUUUUAUUCAAUGCAUUAUAUGUUUUAUUAUAUGCCUAUCUUGCAUUAUAGUCGUUACCAUAUAUAUCUUGGGAUGAUAAAGCAAGUUAUAUCGGUUUGGACGAUGAGAAAUCAUAAGGAUCGGGGAUUUACUGAAUAACUAUACGGACUAUCUUUUAAGGUAUUCUUUGUUGGGUUUAUAAUAUAUUUUGGUUUUUGCUACCUCCAUUUUAUUAAUAAAUCAAAAAUCGUUUACACUAGGCAAAAAAUGAAUUAUUCGUUAGGAUUUUGAAUGAUUUUAUGGCUUCCUUUAUGUAUUACUUUUAAUUGUCCAUAUCACUUACUUCAUAGUUGAGAUUGUGUUAAGAAGUGGGGUCCGUUUUGGGUGACAUCUGCAUUACUUAAAAAUUUAAAUGCAAUCAUUGUCGGCGUGUUUAACCCUUUAUCAACUCUCGGGAAAAUUUUUGACGGAUUUUAGUAGUAUCUGCUGGGAAUAAUCUCCCCUCCGACACGAGAGACCAGAAAUCAGCUAAAAUACUUGCGACGGAAGCUCUUAUCUUGGAAUUCUACCGACAGAAUUGAAGAGCCUUUUCACUAAAUAUCAAUUGUCCCUUACUUUGUCAAGGGUUUAAGUGGCAGUUGAAACGUAAAAGUCGUUCUUGUUUUUUACCCUUUUUGGAAACGAGUUAAAUAUUGCCCGACAGGCAGCUAUGAUUCCCUACUAGCACAGAUAUAUCCAUAGGAUAUACUAUGGAUGUCAGCUCCGAUUCAGUUGGAAUUGUUGGAUAUACCAGUUGGACGCCCUAAAGAUGUUUACAGGAUAUACUAACGUGAACAUCCACACUACGUCCGAAGGAACGUUCAUAGGAUGGAUGUAAUGAACGUUCGUGGGAUGUCUGAAACUAACUUCCAUAGGAUGUUUUAUAUUGGUCACCCCUUUAUACUAUAUUAGUUCAAACGGACGUCCAUGGGAUGUAUUUUUUGGGUCGACCCGUAACAUCAUUCGUAAAUAAAUUAGCAUAAUUACAUGAUAUCAGUUUUACAUUUUAAAUGUAUUAAUUGAGCACAAUACAAACGACGAUACACAAUACAAUACGUAAUCAUAAUUUGUGAAAAUAGCGUUUAGAAAUGGUACGCGUUGGGCGUUGGUCAAAUCUCUGACGGCCACACCAAAAUCUUGAUUCUGCCAUAACUCUUUAAGAUAUUGAAGCUGGGGUUCCUCAAAGAAACAAGAUGGACUGGAUGGUAUGACUAACAUGACACAUUUAGCAUAACAGCAACCCUAACGAGAACUAAACCUAAAUAUAAGGUAACGACGAUGAACAUAAUAGGACAAAAAUUAGGCAUAUAGUUUUUUCUCACCUCGAUCGGUUUCACGAUUACAAUUCUUUCGUGUUUCAAAAAAAUCAGAUUGUUUUUUUCAAAUGAUGCUCCGCUUAUUGAUGGCCAUUUUCCAAGGGGAAGUCACGUAACUAUUAGAGGUACGCAUAAUAUUAUUAGUAAUAUGUUUACAUUGUUUAAUAAACCUAUUGCUUUGAUUACUUGCUGCCUGAUACAAUCAUUCUGAAAUUUCAGUGAAGUGAAAGCAGUCUUGUGCCACAUACAAAGUUUCUUCUGAUGAUCUCUGUUUAUCCAGUUUAGUUUAGGUUCCCAUGUUUACAUAUGAUUACGAUAAUUCCGGAUUUACGAAAUUUUAGUUUCGAUUUCACAAAUUCACUUUCAAGACUUUGAUGUUGAUCAUAGUCAAAGGUCAGUGAGAGCUGAACCUCCCUCACGGCCUGUUCUCUUAGUGUGAUGAUACCAUCUGGCAACACGGCACCCGUCGGCUCCAUAUAUAGGAGAGGACCCCCUCCCUGUCCUCUCAGUCUCUGUCUGCUCUUCAAAGAGCAUUGGUCGUCCAAUAUACUGAUCCGAGCCGCAAUCUCUCUCUCUCUUGUUCUGACUUCAUCAGUCCUUGCUUCUGAUGCUUCAUUGUGGCCACUCCCUUCCAAUUCACAAAAGCCAUUACCUUGAUAGAAGAGACUCGAUACCAUGCGCGCUUAACUGCGCUAGUAAUCGAUCCACCUCGUAAGUUGCGAAUAAUCGUCACUAAGGUUGACAAAUUAUUACCGCAACUUGGUUUGAAAGGGAAAUUUUAAAAAUUAGUUGGUUUAAAUAACUUGACUAUCUUACCAGUUGAUAGUACUUUUCAUUAUCCAAGAAAGUUUGCUCAACUGAUUUGACAUCCUCCAUUUCCUUAAGCGGCUCCAACAUAAAAUCUGGAUCAAUUUCUCGUUGUUCAGCGGCUUGAGAUUAAAUUGACUUUGCCAUCAUAUUUAUUUUACCCUUAAUUACUACCAUUUCGGCCAUUAAGUUUGAGAUGUUUUCUAGCAGGUUAAGCACCUAUUUUACAAGUUUUUCUAAAACUGCUUUUGAAACUUAACAUACAAUUAAUAGAUGGAUAAAACACAAUAACCAUUAUAAUCAGCAUUACCAUCUGACAAUUGUUUAAUUGUCAGCUAAACCAGGAGUUAUCAAUGGAAUGGGUUGAAUUUGUUCCAAGACACCACUCUUACAAUGGGAUGAUUGUCGAUGAUUGAAUUCAGGUUGAAAAUGUUGACCCUGUAAACGUGAGAUAUCAACAUUGAUGGCCCAACAAAAUUUUCAUAAACAAAAAAUAAUUGCUUUAGCAGACGCACGCGGUUUGCGUGAAUUGGGAACGAUACUUGAGUUGGGAGCAGAGCAGUAGUCGAUUCAUAGGGAAACGGCUGAUGAUUCCAAUUAGCCAAAUUAGUUGCUGGUUGGAAAAACCGCAUUGGAAACCAGCACAGACGGGAUAACAGGAGUAGUGACGAAUGUCUGUUGAGCUAGGUUUUGAGUGGGCCCAUACAUUCCAACACUCUCACCUUCACUCUCAUCAUUUGAAUAACGCUCAUCCUGGACCGUUUCUGAUUUUAAAUACCUGCCAGGGGCCCACUUCCUCAAAUAACCUCUUCCCAUUGCUGUAUGCUGAUCAGACUCAGAAUUUAUAUCUGACUGCUCAGAAAUCUGAUUUUCCUUUGAUCGAGAUUAUCAUAAGAAUCUGACCAACAAACACAAUCAGUUUUUAAAACAAACUUGAAAUAAGUUGCAAUAUUAAAUAACUUACUGAAAAAUUUGCGAGUUUUGCAUUCAUCAAUCCCCCAAUUCGAUUUUUUGGGUUCCCUCUACAUUGUCGCAGCCCUUGAUCUUGGAUGGUAACACUUAGGGUUGCCCUCAAGGAGCCAGGAAUCAGGCACAGUUGCAACGAAAGGCCCUGUAGUAAUAACCAAAUCUACCAGUCAGUAUUUUCCGUCUUUAACCUAAAUGACGAAACAUGUUAGAUAGCCACAAAAGAAGUAGAAAAUUGCAUAUUUUAUAGUUACAAUCUAAGAAGCCAUGGUAUAUUGAAUAAUUUUUCUGAAAAAAAACAACAGUAGGUCAACUGUGUCAAAUAGGAACAAAAAUGGAAUAAGUUAAUUUUUCAAUAAAAUUUACCUGUUUCUUCGAACAUUCAAACACGGGACAGUACCAUAACCUUUCAGUUAAGAUCCUAUAAAGCAUGACCAGUCACAACAGAUUUUUUGGGACCGUUCUUUCCCUUUCAAAAAAAUUACAAAUAGUUCAUUUCAUUUAAAUAUCACAGUUCAUGAGCAUAUCUUGAAUCUUGAUUGAAAAUGUUGUGUGGACGUUCUCUUUAAUCAAUAUUAUUGACGAUUUUGAAAAGUUAAGCAUGGCAUUUGAGAUUUAGAUAACCAUGUGCUUGCAAAUUUCCAAGCACAAGACAACACAAAAACAAAGUAAACCACACAUGAAAUUAUGUAUAAAACUAUAAACGAUACGAUACAUAAAUUUUCUCUACCAUUUGAUGUUUACGUUGACUUGAAAAUUUUCUUAUCAUCACAUGAAACUUCAUUCCUUGAUAGGAUUUUUAUUUUAAAUUAAAGCUUUGAAUUGAUUGAUUGUCUUUGUGUUAUAUAGAUACCCACUAUUCUUACGUUUGAUGUGCAUAAUUAGUGUUGUCGCUGCUUCACUUAACACAAUGAGACAAGCAUUUUAUUGGAUUCCUUUUUUCAUAGAUGUGUUUAUGUUGUGUUGCAAAUAUUAAAUACUAUUUCAUUUUUGUCAUUCCCAGAUUGCCGUCCAGCGUCGUCCGUCGAGAAUUCGCGCCCACCUGGCAAUCCGAGCUAUACCAUGAAUUGCUGAUUAGCCAUGGUGUCUUAUCUGUUUGCAGCAAUGUUCAACGUUGAACUCUGGCUGUUUAUUCUGUAUCUAGUUUUCUUUAUCCUGAAUUGAUUUUACGAAUCUACGCCUUUAAAGCAAAUUAAUUUUUCAGAAGAAGGUCGAGAUGACGGGAUGAACGAACUAACUCGUACGGUAAACUUGUUUCGAAUUCAAUAUCAAUGGACCUUUACGGAACACAAAUUCAAGCAGUAAGUGAUUUACAAAAUAAAAAUCAGUUUUUAGCGGAAAAGAUUGAACAGCUGGCGAAAAACAUUAAAGAACUAAAUGAAGCAAAACCCAAACCGAUCAACUCACCUAUGAACGCAGUAAAUACAGCACAGAUUUUUUAUGUUAUGCGUUCGUUACUACCGAUUUUAAGUGGCGCAAAAAAACAGAAAACAAACGACAAAAUUCCAACACGUAUGAAGAACAUAACGAAAAAUAAACCGUGCGUCUUAAGCCCAAAAUGUCACAUGCCAAAUAAUGUUUUGUUGUUGCUCUUGUCAUUAAAAAAGUUUUUCAGGCAUUAACUAACGCUUUCAUUUGUUUUCUCCUCAAAUCAAACAUACCAUAUUUCCGAUACAAACGAAAUCGCAAAAUUUUGACCCUGAAUUUUUUCUAAAAUUUGUUCAAAAUACAAAUAAAAAAGCUUAAUUUUAAUUCUACACUUAAUUCUUUAUCUGUUCAACUUCAGUUUUUAAUCAAAUUUUUGUUCUUUUUCUUUCUAUAAAUCUUUUUUUGUUCUUUAUUCUUCAAAGUUUGAUUUUUUUCUAUUCAUUUCUAUUCCUUUUUUGGCAAAUAAAUAAAUAUUUAAA